This is a long non-coding RNA of Danaus plexippus (monarch butterfly), 498 nucleotides long. RefSeq lists it as uncharacterized. The transcript has 2 exons. NCBI's taxonomy places the organism in Eukaryota, Metazoa, Arthropoda, Insecta, Lepidoptera, Nymphalidae. The record is from RefSeq and is a predicted model, not a curated record.
CCUUGAUGUAUCCAUAAGAGAACCAUGAGAUUCCGUAGGGAUGCCUUGUGGAGCCGUGAGAAGACAAGUCUACACUACAGAUGUGGAAAGCGUACUCCUGAACUAAUCGCGUGUUACUCUUGAGCUAACCACAGGUCCUUGCUGUAUCCUUAAGAAUACCAUGAGAUGACGUAGGGAGGCCUUGGGAAGACUUGAGUAUAAAGUUCCAGGUUUUGAAACGACUACUGAUAUAUUAACCGGAGCAGAUUUAUUACGUGAUAAGAAUACAUGUGGAAAAUUUAGUAUCCUUGCCGAUGUUUUGCACAUACGAACAAGUCAAUUAUGCUUUGACAGUUUAGAUUACAAUUCAACAAUCAGUCCGUUUAAAUCGAAGUAAUGCACCAACACAUUCAAAACAGGAUGGUCGAGGCGGAGAGAAGAUACAAAGCUAGGUUUUUGAGAGGUCGAGCUACGAUUAAAAGAUUCCAGAAGGGAGAUAUUGUAAUAAUAAAAAUAUAA